ACCUAGACAGUUCUGUUGGUAGAGCAUGAGGCUCUUAAUCUUAGGGUUAUGGGUUCCAGCCCCAUGUUGGGCA
Podarcis lilfordi (Lilford's wall lizard) is the source of this 73-nucleotide non-coding RNA. The record is from the annotation of a GenBank genome assembly. NCBI's taxonomy places the organism in Eukaryota, Metazoa, Chordata, Lepidosauria, Squamata, Lacertidae.